GGGAUAUAAUGUUCAAAGAGAAGCUUCUAACUUUUCUUUUGGCGGUUUGAUUCCGUUGGUAUUCCU
Molecule: transfer RNA, 66 nt
Filed under: Scyra compressipes
Lineage: Eukaryota; Metazoa; Arthropoda; Malacostraca; Decapoda; Pisidae
Description: tRNA-Ser
Source: RNAcentral